GGGGCUAGCGUUGUUCGGAAUUACUGGGCGUAAAGGGCGCGUAGGCGGUUCCUCAAGUCAGGCGUGAAAGCCCCGGGCUCAACCUGGGAACCGCGCUUGAGACUGGAGUACUAGAGUUCGGGAGAGGAUGGUGGAAUUCCCAGUGUAGAGGUGAAAUUCGUAGAUAUUGGGAAGAACACCGAUGGCGAAGGCAGCCAUCUGGACCGACACUGACGCUGAGGCGCGAAAGCGUGGGGAGCAAACAGG
Molecule: ribosomal RNA, 246 nt
Filed under: uncultured bacterium
Lineage: Bacteria
Description: partial 16S ribosomal RNA
Rfam family: Bacterial small subunit ribosomal RNA
Source: RNAcentral